Molecule: ribosomal RNA, 506 nt
Filed under: uncultured bacterium
Lineage: Bacteria
Description: partial 16S ribosomal RNA
Rfam family: Bacterial small subunit ribosomal RNA
Source: RNAcentral
AGUGAACGCUGGCGGUAGGCCUAACACAUGCAAGUCGAACGGCAGCACAGAGGAGCUUGCUCCUUGGGUGGCGAGUGGCGGACGGGUGAGGAAUACAUCGGAAUCUACUCUGUCGUGGGGGAUAACGUAGGGAAACUUACGCUAAUACCGCAUACGACAUACGGGUGAAAGCAGGGGAUCUUCGGACCUUGCGCGAUUGAAUGAGCCGAUGUGGGAUUAGCUAGUUGGCGGGGUAAAGGCCCACCAAGGCGACGAUCCGUAGCUGGUCGGAGAGGAUGAUCAGCCACACUGGAACUGAGACACGGUCCAGACUCCUACGGGAGGCAGCAGUGGGGAAUAUUGGACAAUGGGCGCAAGCCUGAUCCAGCCAUACCGCGUGGGUGAAGAAGGCCUUCGGGUUGUAAAGCCCUUUUGUUGGGAAAGAAAUCCAUCUGGUUAAUACCCGGGUGGGAUGACGGUACCCAAAGAAUAAGCACCGGCUAACUUCGUGCCAGCAGCCGCAGUAA